RNAcentral lists this unclassified non-coding RNA (719 nucleotides) under uncultured bacterium. RNAcentral's name for it is "partial contains 16S ribosomal RNA, 16S-23S ribosomal RNA intergenic spacer, and 23S ribosomal RNA". The stretch from base 590 to 719 matches the Rfam family "Bacterial large subunit ribosomal RNA", at positions 1 to 131 of the family's 2925-position model. The record is from RNAcentral.
UGCGGCUGGAUCCCCUCCUUUCUAAGGAGCGUGGAAGGCGUCUUCGGACGUCAUGCCACCAAUCCUAGGUCAGCCCCGGGCUCGCGAGAGCUCAGGGAGGCGGACUCGAGGAAGGCGGACCGCAUCUCCUCGUACAAGCUUGCUAUUCAGUCUCCAGGGACCGAGCGAUCGGUUCUUUGAAACUCAUGUGGAAGCGUCGGAAGGCAUCAGGCACGGGCCUAUAGCUCAGUUGGUCUAGAGCGCACGCCUGACAAGCGUGAGGUCGGUGGUUCAAAUCCACCUAGGCCCACCAGUUCCGACGACGAGGCUUCGUGGGGCUGUAGCUCAGUUGGUAGAGCGCCAGCUUUGCAAGCUGGAUGUCGUCGGUUCGACUCCGAUCAGCUCCACCAGGUCAUGCCGGGAACUCGAGUCCCGGCGCCGCGCGGGCCGCAACGCCGCCGGCCGAAGCACUCUGACAACCGAAUACGAAGGGUAAAGAAGAGCAUCGCGCAGCGAGGUCUUCGCGGGUCCAAACCUCCGAAGGGUCUGGAUCUCGACCUCGAACGCGGCGCCGCUCGAGCCAUCGGCUCGGGAGGCCUGAGUUCAGGGUGACCAAGCUACUAAGGGCAUGUGGUGGAUGCCUUGGCUCUAGGAGGCGACGAAGGACGUGGGUAGCUGCGAAAAGCUACGGGGAGCCGCUAACCAGGCUUGAUCCGGGAUGUCCGAAUGGGGAAACCCGG